CGCCUCCCCACCUCCCUGCCUCUUGGCGUCAUAGGAGGCUCUGCUGCCUGCAGGGCAGAGAGGAGAGGGAGGAGGCCAGCGAGAGGGAGCCUGUGUCGGGGCGUGGGAGGAAAGCAAGAUAACGCAGGCGACCCGAAAAGGACGGUGAAUCUGACUGGCCAGACUGGAAAGGUCUUAUUCUGUCACCCAGGCUGGGGUGCAGUGGCAGGAACAUAGCUUACUCCAUCCUUGACCUCCUGGGAUCAAGCAAUCCUCUAGCCUCAGCCUCCUGAGUAGGUGGGACUACAGAUGCAUACCAACACGCCCAGUGAAGGAAAUGAGUUGUUCUUUCCUCUUUUAUAGGAAUGGGAUGGAAAGGAGGAAGGGCUAUGGUUGCUCUUCGCAUGUUUGUUGUUGUGCUGUUCCGUUCUUCACGCACAUGUCCAUCAGGCUCCUUGUCAACCUUCCAUUCCCCCGGGGUAGGCAUAUUUAUGAGUACCAUGUGCCCAGUGAGCUGGGCCACCCCCCCACCACGUGGUGCCAGACUUGAAUGACCUUGUGCUCUGCAAAUAUAUUGGUUUAUCUGCA
Chlorocebus sabaeus (green monkey) is the source of this 567-nucleotide long non-coding RNA. RefSeq lists it as uncharacterized. Lineage: Eukaryota; Metazoa; Chordata; Mammalia; Primates; Cercopithecidae. The record is from RefSeq and is a predicted model, not a curated record.